RNAcentral lists this small RNA (260 nucleotides) under Pan troglodytes (chimpanzee). The record is from RNAcentral. Lineage: Eukaryota; Metazoa; Chordata; Mammalia; Primates; Hominidae.
GCUGGGCAUAGUGGCAGGCGCCUGUAGUCCCAGCUACUUGGGAGGCUGAGGCAGGAGAAUGGCGUGAACCCGGGAGGCGGAGAUUUCAGUGAGCCGAGAUCGCGCCACUGCACUCCAGCCUGGGCGACAGAGCGAGACUCCGUUUCAAAAAAAAAAAAGAGAUGUUAUCUUGCUCUGUGGCCAGGCUGGAGUGCAGGGGCGCAAUCUUGGCUCACUGCAACCACCUCCAUCUCCUGGGUUCAAGCGAUUCUCCUGCCUCA